Molecule: long non-coding RNA, 468 nt
Organism: Ictalurus punctatus (channel catfish)
Lineage: Eukaryota; Metazoa; Chordata; Actinopteri; Siluriformes; Ictaluridae
Exons: 4
Source: RefSeq, a predicted model, not a curated record
UUCCCGCUUCCCGCUUCCCUUCAGUCUUACAGCAGCGCUGGUGGCGCGUGCAUUGAGGCAAAUUGGCGCUGAAGAUCGCGUAAAGUGAUCGCUACAUUUAGCCGGUGGCUGAAUGAUGUGUGUGUCGAGCCGCGUUACCUGUGAGUAAUCAUACAACUUCUCGUCUGGUGUUUGUUCAAUCUAAUAGAGCUAGUGAGUCUUGGUGGGACAGGGGUGGCUAGCUGCAUUUAUUCAGGAGUGUGCUUCACAGCAUGCUCAGUGUGCCAACACAACAACUUCCUUAUGGUAGGGUUUGGAUGACUUCCCGAGUUGUAGCUGGCCUGCCUUGUCCCUGCCAAGCCUGGGCCUGGAGAAGUUCUUAGUUUUAAAAUAAUUACUGUGCUUCAUGUGAAAGCAAUUUUCUAUUUUCAUGUUAAGUUUUAAAUGAUGCUUACGUGUCAUAAUAAAAUACAAACUUCUAUACUUGUA